GGACGAUAAGACCCUAUAGAACUUAAUUAUAAAUUUAAAAAUUAAAAGGUAAAAAUUUUACUGGGGAAGUAAAAAAAUAAAAAUUUUUUAUUAAAAUUACUAUUAAAAGAAUAAUAAACCUUUUAAGAAAAAAAAGUUACCUUAGGGAUAACAGAGCAAAAAUUUUUUAGAGAUCAAAUCAAGAAGAUUAAAUGCUACCUCGAUGUUGAAUUAAGAAAACAUCUAAUAGAAGAAAAUUAGAUUAUAGGUCUGUUCGACCUUUAAAUUCUUACAUGAUCUGAGUUCAGACCGG
RNAcentral lists this ribosomal RNA (292 nucleotides) under Frankliniella occidentalis (western flower thrips). RNAcentral's name for it is "partial 16S ribosomal RNA". The stretch from base 147 to 292 matches the Rfam family "Bacterial large subunit ribosomal RNA", at positions 2473 to 2619 of the family's 2925-position model. Lineage: Eukaryota; Metazoa; Arthropoda; Insecta; Thysanoptera; Thripidae. The record is from RNAcentral.